GAUCAUAAUAGUUGGCCCAAAAACGGACUUUUGCCCUUUGGUGAGGAUCCUCAGGCAAUAGUUUUGGGGUGGUAUUCCAGCACUCUUCUAUGUAUUCAAGAAUAAUUAGUGACUCAGCAAUGGAUUUCCCAUUGUGAACAAGUACAGGUACUUUCUUGUGGACUGGAUUGUGGCUGAGGAGCAACUCACUUUUGUUUUUCAAAUCUUCCUCCACAUACUCAUAGGGUAUGCCUUUUAGUUUGAGGGCUAGCUCAACUCUAGUGCAGGCACUGCUGGCCCAUGUUCCAAUCAAGACAACUUCACCAUGCU
Molecule: long non-coding RNA, 309 nt
Organism: Quercus robur (English oak)
Lineage: Eukaryota; Viridiplantae; Streptophyta; Magnoliopsida; Fagales; Fagaceae
Exons: 2
Source: RefSeq, a predicted model, not a curated record